This 460-nucleotide ribosomal RNA is filed under the name uncultured bacterium. RNAcentral's name for it is "partial 16S ribosomal RNA". It matches the Rfam family "Bacterial small subunit ribosomal RNA", at positions 338 to 795 of the family's 1533-position model. The record is from RNAcentral.
CCUACGGGCGGCAGCAGUGAGGAAUAUUGGUCAAUGGACGAGAGUCUGAACCAGCCAAGUAGCGUGAAGGAUGACUGCCCUAUGGGUUGUAAACUUCUUUUAUAAAGGAAUAAAACGAGGCUCGUGUGCCUUUUUGCAUUUACUUUAUGAUUAAGGAUAGGCUCACAUCGUGCCAGCAGCCGCGGUACUAUGGAGGAUCCGAGCGUUUUCCGGUUGUAUUGGGUUUAAAGGGAGCGUAGAUGGGUUGUUAAGUCAGUUGUGAAAGUUUGCGGCUCAACCGUAAAAUUGCAAUUGAUACUGGCAGUCUUGAGUACAGUUGAGGUAGGCGGAAUUCGUGGUGUAGCGGUGAAAUGCUUAGAUAUCACGAAGAACCCCGAUUGCGAAGGCAGCUUACUAAACUGUGACUGACAUUGAUGCUCGAAAGUGUGGGUAUCAAACAGGAUUAGAUACCCUGGUAGUC